GAUGCAAACUACGAAUACCGAAGAAUGUUAUCACGGGAGACACACGGCGGGUGCUAACGUCCGUCGUGAAGAGGGAAACAACCCAGACCGCCAGCUAAGGUCCCAAAGUCAUGGUUAAGUGGGAAACGAUGUGGGAAGGCACAGACAGCCAGGAUGUUGGCUUAGAAGCAGCCAUCAUUUAAAGAAAGCGUAAUAGCUCACUGGUCGAGUCGGCCUGCGCGGAAGAUGUAACGGGCUAAACCAUGCACGAAGCUGCGGCAGCGACACUAUGUGUUGUUGGGUAGGGGAGGCGUUCUGUAAGCCGUUGAAGGUGUGCUGUGAGGCAUGCUGGAGGUAUCAGAAGUGCGAAUGCUGACAUAAGUAACGAUAAAGCGGGUGAAAGCCGCUCGCCGGAAGACCAAGGGUUCCUGUCCAACGUUAAUCGGGGCAGGGUGAGUCGACCCCUAAGGCGAGGCCGAAAGGCGUAGUCGAUGGGAAACAGGUUAAUAUUCCUGUACUUGGUGUUACUGCGAAGGGGGACGGAGAAGGCUAUGUUAGCCGGGCGACGGUUGUCCGGUUUAAGCAUGUAGGCGGAGGUUCCAGGUAAAUCCGGUACCUUUUAACGCUGAGGUGUGAUGACGAGGCACUACGGUGCUGAAGUAACAAAUGCCCUGCUUCCAGGAAAAGCCUCUAAGCAUCAGGUAACACGAAAUCGUACCCCAAACCGACACAGGUGGUCAGGUAGAGAAUACCAAGGCGCUUGAGAGAACUCGGGUGAAGGAACUAGGCAAAAUGGUGCCGUAACUUCGGGAGAAGGCACGCUGAUAUGUAGGUGAAGCCCUGCGGGUGGAGCUGAAAUCAGUCGAAGAUACCAGCUGGCUGCAACUGUUUAUUAAAACACAGCACUGUGCAAACACGAAAGUGGACGUAUACGGUGUGACGCCUGCCCGGUGCCGGAAGGUUAAUUGAUGGGGUUAGCGGCAACGCGAAGCUCUUGAUCGAAGCCCGGUAAACGGCGGCCGUAACUAUAACGGUCCUAAGGUAGCGAAAUUCCUUGUCGGGUAAGUUCCGACCUGCACGAAUGGCGUAAUGAUGGCCAGGCUGUCUCCACCCGAGACUCAGUGAAAUUGAACUCGCUGUGAAGAUGCAGUGUACCCGCGGCAAGACGGAAAGACCCCGUGAACCUUUACUAUAGCUUGACACUGAACACUGGUCCUUGAUGUGUAGGAUAGGUGGGAGGCUUUGAAGCGUGGACGCCAGUCUGCGUGGAGCCGUCCUUGAAAUACCACCCUUUAAUGGCUGGUGUUCUAACGUGGACCCGUAAUCCGGGUUGCGGACAGUGUCUGGUGGGUAGUUUGACUGGGGCGGUCUCCUCCCAAAGAGUAACGGAGGAGCACGAAGGUUAGCUAAUCCUGGUCGGACAUCAGGAGGUUAGUGCAAUGGCAUAAGCUAGCUUGACUGCGAGAGUGACGGCUCGAGCAGGUGCGAAAGCAGGUCAUAGUGAUCCGGUGGUUCUGAAUGGAAGGGCCAUCGCUCAACGGAUAAAAGGUACUCCGGGGAUAACAGGCUGAUACCGCCCAAGAGUUCAUAUCGACGGCGGUGUUUGGCACCUCGAUGUCGGCUCAUCACAUCCUGGGGCUGAAGUAGGUCCCAAGGGUAUGGCUGUUCGCCAUUUAAAGUGGUACGCGAGCUGGGUUUAGAACGUCGUGAGACAGUUCGGUCCCUAUCUGCCGUGGGCGCUGGAGAAUUGAGGGGGGCUGCUCCUAGUACGAGAGGACCGGAGUGGACGCAUCACUGGUGUUCGGGUUGUCAUGCCAAUGGCACUGCCCGGUAGCUAAAUGCGGAAGAGAUAAGUGCUGAAAGCAUCUAAGCACGAAACUUGCCCCGAGAUGAGUUCUCCCUGAGACUUUAAGUCUCCUGAAGGAACGUUGAAGACGACGACGUUGAUAGGUCGGGUGUGUAAGCGCAGCGAUGCGUUGAGCUAACCGAUACUAAUGAACCGUGAGGCUUAACCUU
RNAcentral lists this ribosomal RNA (1995 nucleotides) under Enterobacter cancerogenus. RNAcentral describes it as "23S ribosomal RNA". It matches the Rfam family "Bacterial large subunit ribosomal RNA", at positions 946 to 2925 of the family's 2925-position model. The record is from RNAcentral. Lineage: Bacteria; Pseudomonadati; Pseudomonadota; Gammaproteobacteria; Enterobacterales; Enterobacteriaceae.